This 558-nucleotide ribosomal RNA is filed under the name Curvularia sp. 99A. Its description in RNAcentral is "eukaryotic LSU rRNA". The stretch from base 138 to 291 matches the Rfam family "5.8S ribosomal RNA". The record is from RNAcentral. Lineage: Eukaryota; Fungi; Ascomycota; Dothideomycetes; Pleosporales; Pleosporaceae.
GCUGGAUUAUUUAUUCACCCUUGUCUUUUGCGCACUUGUUGUUUCCUGGGCGGGUUCGCCCGCCGCCAGGACCACACCAUAAACCUUUUUUUAUGCAGUUGCAAUCAGCGUCAGUACAACAAAUGUAAAUCAUUUACAACUUUCAACAACGGAUCUCUUGGUUCUGGCAUCGAUGAAGAACGCAGCGAAAUGCGAUACGUAGUGUGAAUUGCAGAAUUCAGUGAAUCAUCGAAUCUUUGAACGCACAUUGCGCCCUUUGGUAUUCCAAAGGGCAUGCCUGUUCGAGCGUCAUUUGUACCCUCAAGCUUUGCUUGGUGUUGGGCGUCUUGUCUUUUGGCUCUUUGCCCAAAGACUCGCCUUAAAACGAUUGGCAGCCGGCCUACUGGUUUCGCAGCGCAGCACAUUUUUGCGCUUGCAAUCAGCAAAAGAGGACGGCACUCCAUCAAGACUCCUUCUCACGUUUGACCUCGGAUCAGGUAGGGAUACCCGCUGAACUUAAGCAUAUCAAUAAGCCGGGAGGAAAUCUUUCCCCCCCUAAAAAUUUUAGGGGCUCUUUCG